GAUGAACGCUGGCGGCAUGCCUAAGACAUGCAAGUCGAACGAGAUGGCCCAAUGAAGAAUGAGUGCUUGCACGAUUUCCGAUUUGGAUUCCCGUCUAGUGGCGCAAGGGUGAGUAAUACGUGGGUAAUCUACCUUCGAGUUUGGAAUAACAAUUAGAAAUGAUUGCUAAUGCCGAAUUAUAUAUUUUGUGAUACGUCACUUUAUAUUAAAAGGAGCCUUUAAAGCUUCGCUUGAAGAUGAGCCCACGCCGUAUUAGCUUGUUGUGGGGUAAUGGCCUACCAAGGCGACGAUGCGUAGCCGACCUGAGAGGGUGAUCGGCCACACUGGGACUGAGACACGGCCCAGACUCCUACGGGAGACAGCAGUUAGGAAUAUUAGGUCAAUGGACGCAAGUCUGAACCAGCCAUGCCGCGUGCAGGAUGACGGCGUCUAUGAGUUGUAAACUGCUUUGUAUAAGGGUAAACCUCGGGACGUGUCCCGAG
RNAcentral lists this ribosomal RNA (482 nucleotides) under uncultured bacterium. Its description in RNAcentral is "bacterial SSU rRNA". It matches the Rfam family "Bacterial small subunit ribosomal RNA", at positions 28 to 469 of the family's 1533-position model. The record is from RNAcentral.